AAUGUACUGGGGCAGCUUUGGGGCGCAGCUUGGGGCCCUAAUGCGGCGGUGAGUCCCCAAAAUAACCUGGGGAACCCCAAAAUCCCACCUUGAGAGCCCCUAAAUGUACUGGGGCAGUUUUGGGGGGCGCUGCUCGGGGCCCUAUGGCGGCGGUGAGUCCCCAAAAACCCCCAAAAAUGCCACCUUGAGAACCCCAAAAUAUCCUAAAUGUACUGGGGCAGUUUUGGGGGGCGCAGCUCAGGGCCUUACAGCAGUGGUGAGUACCCCAAAAACCAUCCAAGGAACCCCAAAAAAUCAACUGGGGGACCCCAAAAAUCAUCUGAGGAACCCCAAAAUAUCCUAAAUGCACUGGGGCAGCUUUGGGGUGCAGCUGGGAGACCUACGGUGGUGGUGAGUACCCCAAAAACCAUCCAAGGAACCCCAAAAAAUCAAUUUAGGAUAUUUUAGGGGACCCCAAAAACAACCUGGGGAACCCCAAAUAUCGUAAAUGUACUGGGGCAGUUUUGGGUGGCGCAGCUCAGGGCCCUAUGGCAGCAGUGGGUGUCCCAAAAUCCCCACCUGGGGAACCCCAAAAAUCACCUGAGGAACCCCAAAAAUCACUGGGGGAACCCCAAAAAUCACCUGGGGCACCCCAAAAUCCCCCAGGGGAGCUUCAAAUGUAUUGGGGUGACCUGAAAAUAAUCUGUAGGGAGAGCUCAAAAUGGGCUGGGAGGACCCCAAAAAAAUCCUGUGGGGGUCCCAGAUGGUCCUGGCAGGGUCUCUGGGGGGUCCCCAAAUGUUUUUGGGGNAGGUGGCCCUGCCCUGCAGCCGGGGUUGGGGGACAGGAGGGGUCAUUGAGGGGUUUGGGAGCUCAGGGAAGGAUCAGGGGGGUUUGGGAUCUUUGGGAAUCCAACGGGGAGGAUCUGGGAUCUCUGGGAACCCAUCCUGGAGCUCGGGGGCCUUUGGGAUCUCAGGGAAGGAUUGGGGGGUUUGGGAUCUCAGGGAACCCAUCCUGGAGAUCACAGAGGGGUUUGGGAGCUCAGGGAAGGGAUCCUGGAGAAUUUGGGAUUUCACGGAAAGGAUCCUGGAGAUCACCAGGGGCUUCGGGAUCUGAGGGAAGGGAUCCCAGAGCUCAGGGGGCUUUGGGAUCUCAGGGAAGGAUCAGGGGGCUUUGGGAUUUCAUGGAAAGGAUCCUGAAGAUCAGGGGGCUUUGGGAUCUCAGGGAACCCAUCCUGGAGAUCACAGAGAGUUUUGGAUCUCAGGGAAGGGAUCCCAGAUUUCAGGGGGGUUUGGGAUCUCAGGGAUCCCAUCCUGGAGCUCAGGAGGCUGGGAUCUCAGGGAAGGAUUGGGGGCUUUGGGAUCCCUGGGAAUCCAUCCUGGAGAUCACAGAGGGGUUUGGGACCUCAGGGAAGGGAUCCCAGAGUUCAGGGGGCUUUGGGAUCUCGGGGAAGGAUCAGGGGGCUUUGGGAUCUCUAGGAACCCAUCCUGGAGAAUUUGGGAUCUCAGGGAACCCAUCCUGGAAUCACAGAGGGAUUUGGGAUCUCAGGGAAAGGAUCCCAGAGUUCAGGGGGCUUUGGGAUCUCAGGGAACCCGUCCUGGAGAUCACAGUGAGGGUUUGGGAUCUCUGGGAAGGGAUCCUGGAGGAUUUGGGAUUUCAUGGAAAGGAUCCUGGAGAUCAUCAGGGGCUUUGGGAUCCCUGGGAAUCCAUCCUGGAGAUCACAGAGGGGUUUGGGGAUCUCAGGGAAAGGAUCCCAGAGUUCAGGGGGCUUUGGGAUCUCA
This 1758-nucleotide long non-coding RNA is filed under the name Zonotrichia albicollis (white-throated sparrow). RNAcentral describes it as "lncRNA (ENSZALG00000001771.1)". The record is from RNAcentral. Lineage: Eukaryota; Metazoa; Chordata; Aves; Passeriformes; Passerellidae.